Molecule: long non-coding RNA, 715 nt
Organism: Musa acuminata AAA Group (dessert banana)
Lineage: Eukaryota; Viridiplantae; Streptophyta; Magnoliopsida; Zingiberales; Musaceae
Exons: 3
Source: RefSeq, a predicted model, not a curated record
GGAAGCUAAGUAGCUUCGCAGUGGCAUUUUCGUUGUUUUGGCGGCGGCCAGGAGCAGCCGAAAACCCUUACUGGAUCUUCCGCCACGCGAGCUGUUUCGCUAAUGGACUACGCCACUCUACCCGCGUCGAUCUCUCUUCUCUUCUCGCAAUGGUUGUAAUGCUGGAUCAUAUCAAUCGCUUUAUCGAGCUUUUCUUCUGAUGAAAAGCUGCUCUGAUGAAAUCGUUCUCCGCCUCUUCCCUUUGCGGGAUUCCGAGAAGAAGCUGUCGAACCCGAUGAGGGAGAUCAAGGUCCAGAAGCUCGUCCUCAACAUCUCCGUUGCCGAGAGUGGCGAUCGUCUCACGAGGGCCGCUAAGGUUUUGGAGCAGCUAAGUGGACAGACACCAGUGUUCUCAAAGGGCGUAAUGAGAAGAUCGCGUGCUAUGUAACAGUAAGAGGUGACAAGGCAAUGCAACUUCUAGAAAGUAGACUAAAAGUUAAGGAAUACGAGCUGUCAAGGAGAAACUUCAGUGACACUGGUUGCUUUGGAUUUGGCAUACAAGAGCAUAUUGAUCUUGGAAUUAAGUAAGCAGUUUUUUUAGUUGUCAUUGUUAAUUUUCCUUUCAAAACCAUAGAUAUACACUAGAAGAAUCUGAACUUGUGUGUCUAUAUUUAUUUGUUGUGUGUCAUCUUUGUUAGAAUUUAACCUUUAAGUUGAUUAAGCUUACCUUUGGGGU